GACGAACGCUGGCGGCGUGCUUAACACAUGCAAGUCGAACGGUGAAGCGCCUUCCUUUUUGGUGGGUGUGGAUGAGUGGCGAACGGGUGAGUAACACGUGAGUAACCUGCCCCCUUCUUCUGGAUAACCGCAUGAAAGUGUGGCUAAUACGGGAUAUUCUGGGUCUGUCGCAUGAUGGGUCUGGGAAAGAUAUUGUUUCGGUUGGGGAUGGGCUCGCGGCCUAUCAGCUUGUUGGUGGGGUGAUGGCCUACCAAGGCGGUGACGGGUAGCCGGCCUGAGAGGGUGGACGGUCACACUGGGACUGAGACACGGCCCAGACUCCUACGGGAGGCAGCAGUAGGGAAUAUUGCACAAUGGGCGCAAGCCUGAUGCAGCGACGCCGCGUGAGGGAUGGAGGCCUGCGGGUUGUGAACCUCUUUCGCCAGUGAAGCAGGCCUGCCUCGUUUGUGGGUGGGUUGACGGUAGCUGGAGAAGAAGCGCCGGCUAACUACGUG
RNAcentral lists this ribosomal RNA (494 nucleotides) under uncultured bacterium. Its description in RNAcentral is "partial 16S ribosomal RNA". It matches the Rfam family "Bacterial small subunit ribosomal RNA", at positions 28 to 507 of the family's 1533-position model. The record is from RNAcentral.